RNAcentral lists this long non-coding RNA (981 nucleotides) under Physcomitrium patens. RNAcentral's name for it is "long non-coding RNA (PPAT_LNC011879)". Lineage: Eukaryota; Viridiplantae; Streptophyta; Bryopsida; Funariales; Funariaceae. The record is from RNAcentral.
AGAGAAUGAGGACACGGAGAAGUCCUAACUUUCAAGAAGGCCAAGUCCCCCUUGAGAAUCCCCAGUACAGAGGAGUCAUUCGAAAAAACAAUGCGAACUCAAUUGCAGUACAUGGUUUUGUGGGUCCCCUCAUCCCAGAUUGAGAAGCGGAAGGGAACGUUAGUGUCCUUCGUUCUUUGAACCUGCAGAUUUGGAGUGUGUGCCAACUUCCGGGAUGAGGAUGGACACCAGUACUUUAUUCUGAUAACUUGAUUCAGGGUGUAAUUGUCGAUGUGUAGUUCACGCAUCAUUCACUGAUCAUAGGAUGAGGAACUAGGCUGAUGGCUGGUUGGGCAGAGGCCGGGCUGCGGUUGGGUGCUUCGAUUGAUGACAAGAGCAGUGUCUCUUGAUACGCGUCUACAGUUGCAAAAGAAUAGAUUACAAUACUAAUAAUCAUAAUAACAAACAACAGCUGGACCUGGUUUCCGUCCCCUUGCUGUGAUAACUAGUUCUUCAUAGAUCUUCAAGGUAGUGGAGGAUAGUGGCCGCCUAGGAUGUCUAAUUUGUGAUCUGUAUCUACAGAUUGGACUCCCCCCCCCCUCCCCCAAGAUUAGGCUCAUUGGAAUCUGUACGCCAUCUGAAGUACUGCAGACAAUGAUAAGCGCCAAGCUUAAGUUAACCAGGAUGCAACGAUUCACUUACCUCACUCCCUGAAGUUGACAGCAUGAACUUAGUUGUAAACGUUCCAAAUACUGGACAGCUAACACCAAUCUAUCCAAGUAGUGGACUUAUUCUUUCUACACGUCGAGGAAGAGCAUGAUUCCACAUGGUUUAUGGUAUGCUUGCACAAAGGUAGUACUGUAGCACUCAGAUCACAUGCACCAGUCGCUUGAUCAACUAAUUUGACAGGCUGUCAAAAGUAUUACCACAACAAGGAACUAGGGAGCGAAUACUUGGAAGAAAACUAUUGUAAUCUUUCACCUAUUUGGACCAUAAAAUGAC